CUUGAGAUUUACGAUUCAUUCUCAUCUUCUUUGGUAUAUGAAAAAUGAUUGAAUUAGUAAAUGAUGAUGAAGUUGAAAUACCAGAUUUCACAUCUGAAUCUCCAGGUUGUUCUGUUCAUCCAUGUGGUUCUUCUUGUAAUGUUUAUUUUUUGUUUUAUAAUGAUGAUAUGAGGUUUCUUUGUUUAUGGAACCCAUCCAUUAAAGAAUACAAUCAACAUACGAGACAAAUCAAUCGGCUAUUCACAAGUCUAAAUGCGUUUUUAGUCCAAUCAAACCGAACCAAAUAUAGCAAAAAUGAAAUUGGGUCCUGAAAAAGCAUGACUUCUGUCAUAAUCACAACAAGUUAAAUGUUGAAAUCAUGAAGAGACUAGAUGAUCUAUGGAAUGAAGAUAGGAUGUCAGUAUCUUGUGGCAGGGAAAAUUUUGACAAAGUGUCAAGGAUAUAUACAGAAUGGCAUUGAAGAUUAAUUCAAUUUGGGUUGUGGUAUCUAAAGAUAUUCAAAACCAGAUUGGAAAGAUGUUGGGAUGUGUUUGUUUAACCAAAGGCUCCCUUAUUCCUCUGGUAUCUGGAGCAUUAUACGCGUUAGUGUUUGGAUUUGUCUGUGGACCUUGAGAAGAAGAAAGUGAGUGCACUAAACUCCAGGGUAAACUAGCGGAGAUAGAAACUUGGAAGAGUACUGCUGCGAAAGAUGUGGAUGCAACUGAAUAUUGGAGGAAGAAGUUUUCCGGUUUCGAGAGUCGAGUUCUGAGGAUGGAAAAUGAAAAUUCAACAAUGAGAUGUGUUGGUUCGAAUUUGGAGAGCAUAGUCCUGAGGAGUGGAAAGGAAAGUUCAAUAUUGGGAUGUGUAGAAUUGCAUAAUUCUGAAAAGAUAGAAUCCGAAGCGCGGGGUUUGCAGAAUGAAGUUACUCAAAGUGGUGAAAAGCAAAGACAUAAAAAUAACAGGAGCAAACUUAAUGCUGAAACCAGUAGCUGAAAGAGGACGGAUUCUCCUGUGUAUGAUGUUGGAAUCAAUAAACAUCAUGAAUCCGAGUCUGGAUUUCCCAGAUACUAUGCUGUGAAUGUUUCUUCUCGAUUUCUACAUUUAUAUCUUGAUAUGCUUUCUUCAUUUGAAGAGGAAAAACAUUGAAAUUCUAUUGUUGCAUUCUGAUCUAGUAGUGAAAACAACUUCUUCUUUUUUAAGGUAAAAAUAGUAGAAGAAGAAGUUGUAUUCACUAUUCGAUGAGAAUGCGUGUGUGGGAUAAUGAAACCUGGUAAGGAAAUUGAUCAGUUGACUGUUUUAAUUUGAAUGAAGCUUGGAGUUUGGUUCAGCAAAAGGUCGUUCAAGAAGCUUUAAGUUGGCAUCAAGAUACAACUGAGGUUUGCCUAAAUUGUCAUGAAAAGAAUGUUGCAUCAAGCUUUUAUCAAUAUUGGUUGAACUGUUGGUAGUACAAAGAUUAUGAAAGUGGCAACACAAGUCUUUUCAGAUGGCGUCAUUGCGACAAGAGAAGCUUGAUAAGAUUGCGGACUGCUUUCAGAUGAAAGGACAAGAGAAGCUUGCUAAGGUACACAUAUAACUUGGCGUGGUUGGCCCAUGACCAAAAUCACAGUCUCUCAUGGGUGGAAGAAUUGGAAGCAGUAGAAACACCCACGAUUUAAGGGGUAAAAAAUGCGUAUUCUCUUAGCAUCCAGAAUAGCAUAAAGGCAAACUAUUUAUGUUUGAAUUACAAGUUAUAAGUUUUAUAAACCCAAAUGUGCUAAAUUAAGGCAAACUAUUUAUGUUCAGAAAAUACAUCGUCAUGACAUAAUAUGUGAAGAUAAUAUAAACGAAGGCGCAUAAGUAUAACAUGAAUGCCUAAAUGCCUUGUGGAAAAAAAUGGAUUACCCUAUAAGAGGUAGAAUUGCAUUUAGAGAUGUUAUGAUUUGUUACUCACAUAAACAAUAUCACUGGAUAGAUGCAUUAUAAUUACAACAUCCUUAAAUUCAAAUAUUAUGUUUAACACGAGUGUAAACUUAUUAGACAAAGUCAGCUUUCACUCUAUUUUUCUAGGCCAAUUUGCAAUUAUGAAUUUUGGGGUUAGCACUGCCCAAGCCUCAUGUUCAUUUGGAAGAUGUAUUUGUUAUUUCAUCUUGUUCUACCUAUUUGUGUCAGUUUCCAUUCUUUAGGAUUUCUUCAACAACUCCUCAAAAAGUACACGAUUUGAUUGGAAAUCCUAGUUUG
Papaver somniferum (opium poppy) is the source of this 2196-nucleotide long non-coding RNA. RefSeq lists it as uncharacterized. The transcript is spliced from 4 exons. The record is from RefSeq and is a predicted model, not a curated record. Lineage: Eukaryota; Viridiplantae; Streptophyta; Magnoliopsida; Ranunculales; Papaveraceae.